AGCCUCUCGGGGUCACACCUGGAGAGUUUCCAGUACUCUAUCAGUCUCGGCUACAGGAAGGAGAGUCAAGCAGAGACCUACCCAUGCCAUUCCUGGCUUGGCCCGUGGCAAGCGAGUGGAAGGCAAUCUGCUACAAGU
This is a small nucleolar RNA of Ornithorhynchus anatinus (platypus), 138 nucleotides long. The record is from RefSeq and is a predicted model, not a curated record. NCBI's taxonomy places the organism in Eukaryota, Metazoa, Chordata, Mammalia, Monotremata, Ornithorhynchidae.